AAAAAAAAAGAACACAAGCCGCCCUAGAAAAACGAGUUUUUCAACUUGUAAAGGGAAAAUCCAACUGGUGUGCCUGUGAGAAAGAGUGUCAUAUCCUGUUUGAGCUUUGAAUGUUUUUUGUGAAAGUGAAAGGUCAGCCUUAAAAGCAGGAUUUCAGAAAACAGAAGUGAAAGGUCCUGCUCGUUCCCUUUCAUGUAAAUUAGCUAUCACGAUGUGUGAGUAGCUGAUGCUUCUCUUCCAUGCAGUUCAGGGCAUUUUCACUCACGUUGAAGAAGCUUCACCAACCCCUCAUACUGAUGAACUGGGCUGAUUUGGGAGAAGGAGUGACAGUGGGUAGAAUCAUCUGGUAGAAUUCAAGUUUUUCAAGGUAAUGCCUUAUUUUGACUCUUCUCUGCAAGAGAGCUUGGAAGACCUGCUUCCUCAGGAAUGCCUGGGUUUCCUAAGGCCCCUGUGUUAGUUGCCUGACCUGUGUUGUUUUCAGUGUUCCUUUCAAGCUGGUGUAACUUAUCAGGGUUUGUUUUUCUUAUGUUCAGGGCCGAGUCGCAGCAGGAAGAGGACACACAGGCAUAGGACUCUGUAAUUGAAAGAGAAGCUGGCAGGAGCUCCCUUCACUCCCUUACCCACCCGGCACCCACAAGGCCUUUGGCUGCCACGUGAUGAGCGCGGGUUCUGUGCGUCCUUGUUCCACCCAGCACAGACAUCCUGGAGAGCGGCCAUGUUGGGGCCCCCAGGGGCAUGUGGCUUGUGUGUUUGGAAGUUCCUCCUUGCUCUGCUCCACUCCUGCCUUGUGAAGAUGGUGACUACUUCCUCUUCUGCCGUGAUUGUAAGUUUCCUGAGGCCUCACCAGCCAUGCAGAACUGUGAGUCAAUUAAACCUCUUUCCUUUAUAAGUUACCCAAUCUCAGGUAGUAUCUUUAUAGCAGUGUGAAAACAAACUAAUACAAUCCCUAUUUUAAGGUCAAGUGAUUAGCAGCUUUAAUCCCCCUUUGCCAUGUAAUGUAACAUAUUUGUAGUUUCUGGAGAUUAGGAUGUGAUCACCUUUGGGAGACAAUUACUCUGCUUACCACAGUUGCCAAAAAACAAACAAACAAACAAAAAAAACAA
Sapajus apella (tufted capuchin) is the source of this 1103-nucleotide long non-coding RNA. RefSeq lists it as uncharacterized. NCBI's taxonomy places the organism in Eukaryota, Metazoa, Chordata, Mammalia, Primates, Cebidae. The transcript is spliced from 2 exons. The record is from RefSeq and is a predicted model, not a curated record.